This is a long non-coding RNA of Amphiprion ocellaris (clown anemonefish), 998 nucleotides long. NCBI's taxonomy places the organism in Eukaryota, Metazoa, Chordata, Actinopteri, Pomacentridae. The record is from Ensembl.
CUAUGUCUGCAUCAUGGCUCCACAUGGAAAAGAACUGAACAGAGGAAGAGAAACAUCUGACUGAGAGACUCGACAAAGAUGGAAAAAGAUCCAGGAAGAUCAGUGAGAAACUAAAAACCAGUGAUGCACAGAGUCAGAUGGAAUCAGGAGGUCUAGAAGGAGUCAUAGUACCACUGAUCAGGAGGUCUAGAAGGAGUCAUAGUACCAGUAAUCAGGAGGUCUAGAAGGAGUCAUAGUACCACUGAUCAGGAGGUCUAGAAGGAGUCAUAGUUCCACUAAUCAGGAGGUCUAGAAGGAGUCAUAGUACCACUGAUCAGGAGGUCUAGAAGGAGUCAUAGUACCACUAAUCAGAAGGUCUAGAAGGAGUCAUAGUACCACUGAUCAGGAGGUCUAGAAGGAGUCAUAGUACCACUGAUCAGGAGGUCUAGAAGGAGUCAUAGUACCACUGAUCAGGAGGUCUAGAAGGAGUCAUAGUACCACUAAUCAGGAGGUCUAGAAGGAGUCAUAGUACCACUAAUCAGAGCUCCUAAAAUGACUCCACAGACAGUGAACUACUUUCUCCAUCCAGCUGUAAAAACAGACGGCAGCUGUUUCAGACUUGGUUCAGGGGUUCUCCAUGGAAACCAGAGUUAAUGUGAAGCUCAGAAGGAACCUUCAGAACAUCAACCUCUAUGGACGGAGGACCAGAACUAAGCCUGGCUGCUGAAGAACCCGAGAAGAAGCCUGAUGGAUGUUGGAGAACAUUCUUUGGUCAGAUGAAGAUCAAUGAGUUGGGCUCAGAUGGAGUCCAGAUGUUUGGUGAGAACCUGAGCAGGACUACCAUAGUGGAUACAGAGUCCUGACAAUGAAGCACGGAGUUCACUAACCCUCGUGUCGUCCUGUGAGUCAAACUGACUCAUUUUACAAUUUGAAAAUGUGAAAAAAAAAAAAUUCACACUGGAACUUCUGAGGUCCACAUUUUCAAAAUUUUGGGGAAAUUUUUGAACAUUUUUUGGUGG